UCCUCGGUAGUAUAGUGGUUAGUAUUUCCGCCUGUCAUGCAGAGCAUUUACAUCCAAAUGUCGAUCACGCGCCUUGUCGCUGGCCGAUCACUGGACGUUCUUGCAAGACGAAAUCGCGGGAGACCGGGGUUCAAUUCCCCGCCGAGGAG
Molecule: non-coding RNA, 149 nt
Organism: Pyronema domesticum
Lineage: Eukaryota; Fungi; Ascomycota; Pezizomycetes; Pezizales; Pyronemataceae
Source: the annotation of a GenBank genome assembly